CUUCGACAACGAAAUAGAAUAAUUGAUAGCAACACCCUUCAUGCAUAACUUCCAUACCAAGGUUAGCACGGUUAAUGAUAUCAGCCCAAGUAUUAAUUACACGGCCUUGACUAUCAACUGCGGAUUGGGUGAAAUUGAAACCAUUUAGGUUUAAAUGACUACUUGAAUCAGGGUUUUGAGCAUAAAGAUUCCACUGACCUGUAAAAAGUGGGCCUAACCUCGUCUCUGGGUGCCUAGGUAUCCACCGUAAGCCUUUCCUCGUUUGAACCUCGCCCUUCUAAGGCUAUGGGAGCUACGUCUGAGUUAAACUUAG
Molecule: long non-coding RNA, 313 nt
Filed under: Olea europaea subsp. europaea
Lineage: Eukaryota; Viridiplantae; Streptophyta; Magnoliopsida; Lamiales; Oleaceae
Source: RNAcentral